This 629-nucleotide long non-coding RNA is filed under the name Pongo abelii (Sumatran orangutan). Its description in RNAcentral is "lincRNA". The record is from RNAcentral. Lineage: Eukaryota; Metazoa; Chordata; Mammalia; Primates; Hominidae.
AAUGUUAGAGUUCCCUCACCAAUGUGCCUAGCACUGUGUCAUGUAUUAUAAAGGACGUUGAAAAGAUGAAGUUCAUCACCUUGUGGAAGAAGCAGACACGUUUUAGAAGCAAAGAAACAAUACAGAGUUAAUAUGGAGAACAGAGGAUGAGAUAGGGGAAAGAAAAAGGCAGCUGCUGACAGGCAGGAGCUGGCCUGGCAUGUCCAGCUAGUCUCUCCCGCUGUCCUCCUGAACAGGAACAAUUUCACAAAUGAUAAACGUCAGACAAGGACCACUCUGCAGCUAAUGAUGGAGCAAGACAAACACAAGACUGGCCUAUAAUUGUGUCUGAGCACAAACAAAAGCAAGAACAUUGUCCAAAGCAUAAGCAUCAUAAAAUUUCUUUAUUUCCUGCCUUAUGCCUGCUUCUUUAUCAAUAAUAAUAAUAAUAAUAAAUAAAGUAGAGUUUUAGGUCAACUUCAUUCCUCUUGACCCCUAGAUAAGCCCUAGUCAUGUAUGUGGCCCCCCUUCCUGACAUAUCCAAUCCCUGCUUCCUUGAAACCUCCUCCACAGUGUGCGGCACAAGCCCAAAUCCUGCAAGAAGCUCCUGCUCAGUCUCUUACAGAGAUGCCUGAUGGUUCUCUAUGGUG